RNAcentral lists this ribosomal RNA (292 nucleotides) under uncultured bacterium. RNAcentral's name for it is "partial 16S ribosomal RNA". It matches the Rfam family "Bacterial small subunit ribosomal RNA", at positions 505 to 796 of the family's 1533-position model. The record is from RNAcentral.
GUGUCAGCAGCCGCGGUAAGACAGGGGUCUCGAGCGUUAAUCGGAAUCACUGGGCUUAAAGGGUGCGUAGGCGGCCUCGUAAGUGCUUUGUGAAAGCCCUCGGCUCAACCGAGGAACUGCAGGGCAUACUGCGAGGCUUGAGGAAGCUAGAGGCUGGUAGAACGAUAGGUGGAGCGGUGGAAUGCGUAGAUAUCUAUCGGAAUGCCGAAAGUGAAGACAGCCAGCUGGGGCUUUCCUGACGCUCAGGCACGAAAGCGUGGGGAGCAAACCGGAUUAGAAACCCUCGUAGUCC